Molecule: microRNA, 21 nt
Filed under: Ananas comosus (pineapple)
Lineage: Eukaryota; Viridiplantae; Streptophyta; Magnoliopsida; Poales; Bromeliaceae
Description: microRNA s0284_c099
Source: RNAcentral
GGCUUCAACCCCAUAUUAUUC